GGUAGCGUGGCCGAGCGGUGUAAGGCGCAGAUUUAAGCUCUGGAGGCGUGGGUUCGAAUUACACCGCUGCCA
Molecule: transfer RNA, 72 nt
Filed under: Trichonephila clavipes
Lineage: Eukaryota; Metazoa; Arthropoda; Arachnida; Araneae; Nephilidae
Description: tRNA-Leu
Rfam family: tRNA
About the family: Transfer RNA (tRNA) molecules are approximately 80 nucleotides in length. Their secondary structure includes four short double-helical elements and three loops (D, anti-codon, and T loops). Further hydrogen bonds mediate the characteristic L-shaped molecular structure. tRNAs have two regions of fundamental functional importance: the anti-codon, which is responsible for specific mRNA codon recognition, and the 3' end, to which the tRNAs corresponding amino acid is attached (by aminoacyl-tRNA synthetases). tRNAs cope with the degeneracy of the genetic code in two manners: having more than one tRNA (with a specific anti-codon) for a particular amino acid; and 'wobble' base-pairing, i.e. permitting non-standard base-pairing at the 3rd anti-codon position.
Source: RNAcentral